GAUGAACGCUGGCGGCGUGCCUAACACAUGCAAGUCGAGCGAAGCACUUUAAUUUGAUUCUUCGGAUGAGGAUUUUUGUGACUGAGCGGCGGACGGGUGAGUAACGCGUGGGCAACCUGCCUUACACAGGGGGAUAACAGUUAGAAAUGACUGCUAAUACCGCAUAAGACCACAGUACUGCAUGGUGCAGUGGUAAAAACUCCGGUGGUGUAAGAUGGGCCCGCGUCUGAUUAGGUAGUUGGCGGGGUAACGGCCCACCAAGCCGACGAUCAGUAGCCGACCUGAGAGGGUGACCGGCCACAUUGGGACUGAGACACGGCCCAGACUCCUACGGGAGGCAGCAGUGGGGAAUAUUGCACAAUGGGGGAAACCCUGAUGCAGCGACGCCGCGUGAGCGAUGAAGUAUUUCGGUAUGUAAAGCUCUAUCAGCAGGGAAGAAAAUGACGGUACCUGACUAAGAAGCCCCGGCUAACUACGUGCCAGCAGCCGCGGUAAUACGUA
RNAcentral lists this ribosomal RNA (501 nucleotides) under uncultured bacterium. RNAcentral describes it as "bacterial SSU rRNA". It matches the Rfam family "Bacterial small subunit ribosomal RNA", at positions 28 to 529 of the family's 1533-position model. The record is from RNAcentral.